This 525-nucleotide ribosomal RNA is filed under the name uncultured microorganism. RNAcentral's name for it is "bacterial SSU rRNA". It matches the Rfam family "Bacterial small subunit ribosomal RNA", at positions 9 to 511 of the family's 1533-position model. The record is from RNAcentral.
GAGUUUGAUCGUGGCUCAGAACGAACGUUGGCGGCGUGCUUAACACAUGCAAGUCGAACGAGAACGGUUUCUUCGGAGACCUAGUAAAGUGGCGCACGGGUGAGUAACACGUAGAUAACCUGUCCAGGUGUUCGGGAUAGCCCUUCGAAAGGGGGGAUUAAUACCGGAUACGUUAGUCUGUUAUAAGGCAGAUUAAGAAAGGUGGCCUCUAUUUAUAAGCUAUCGCAUUUGGAGGGGUCUGCGUACCAUUAGUUUGUUGGUGGGUAAAGGCCUACCAAGACUUCGAUGGUUAGCGGGUCUGAGAGGAUGAUCCGUCACACUGGCACUGAAACACGGGCCAGACUCCUACGGGAGGCAGCAGUGAGGAAUAUUGCGCAAUGGGGGAAACCCUGACGCAGCGACGCCGCGUGGGUGAGGAAGGCUUUCGGGUCGUAAAGCCCUGUCAGAAGGAAGAAAUGUGUAUAGGUUAAUAUCUUAUACAUUUGACGGUACCUUCAAAGGAAGCACCGGCUAACUCCGUGCCAG